ACGUAGGGUGCGAGCGUUAAUCGGAAUUACUGGGCGUAAAGCGUGCGCAGGCGGCUCUGUAAGACAGAUGUGAAAUCCCCGGGCUCAACCUGGGAACUGCAUUUGUGACUGCAGGGCUGGAGUGCGUCAGAGGGAGGUGGAAUUCCGCGUGUAGCAGUGAAAUGCGCAGAGAUGCGGAGGAACACCGAUGGCGAAGGCAGCCUCCUGGGCCAGUACUGACGCUCAUGCACGAAAGCGUGGGGAGCAAACAG
This 251-nucleotide ribosomal RNA is filed under the name uncultured prokaryote. RNAcentral describes it as "partial 16S ribosomal RNA". It matches the Rfam family "Bacterial small subunit ribosomal RNA", at positions 525 to 775 of the family's 1533-position model. The record is from RNAcentral.